UACGGAGGAUCCGAGCGUUAUCCGGAUUUAUUGGGUUUAAAGGGUGCUCAGGCGGGGGAUUAAGUCGGCGGUGAAAUUUUGCGGCUCAACCGUAAAAGUGCCUUCGAAACUGGUUUCCUUGAGUGUGGAUGAGGUAGGCGGAAUUUGUGGUGUAGCGGUGAAAUGCAUAGAUAUCACGAGGAACUCCGAUUGCGCAGGCAGCUUACCAGGCCAUAACUGACGCUCAAGCACGAAGGCGUGGGGAUCAAACAGGAUUAGAUACCCCUGUAGUCCCUGA
Molecule: ribosomal RNA, 277 nt
Filed under: uncultured prokaryote
Description: partial 16S ribosomal RNA
Rfam family: Bacterial small subunit ribosomal RNA
Source: RNAcentral